GAUGAACGCUGGCGGCGUGCCUAAUACAUGCAAGUCGAGCGAACAGACGAGGAGCUUGCUCCUCUGACGUUAGCGGCGGACGGGUGAGUAACACGUGGAUAACCUCCCUAUAAGACUGGGAUAACUUCGGGAAACCGGAGCUAAUACCGGAUAAUAUAUUGAACCGCAUGGUUCAAUAGUGAAAGACGGUUUUGCCGUCACUUAUAGAUGGAUCCGCGCCGCAUUAGCUAGUUGGUAAGGUAACGGCCUACCAAGGCAACGAUGCGUGGACGAACGCAGAGGGUGAUCGGCCACACUGGAACUGAGACACGGUCCAGACUCCUACGGGAGGCAGCAGUAGGGAAUCGUCCGCAAUGGGCGAAAGCUUGACGGAGCAACGCCGCGUGAGUGAUGAAGGUCUUCGGAUCGUAAAACUCUGUUAUUAGGGAAGAACAAAUGUGUAAGUAACUAUGCAGGUCUUGACGGUAACGAAUCAGAAAGCAACGGCUAACUACGUG
RNAcentral lists this ribosomal RNA (497 nucleotides) under uncultured bacterium. Its description in RNAcentral is "partial 16S ribosomal RNA". It matches the Rfam family "Bacterial small subunit ribosomal RNA", at positions 28 to 507 of the family's 1533-position model. The record is from RNAcentral.